AUUGAACGCUGGCGGCAGGCCUAACACAUGCAAGUCGAACGAGGGGCGGACGGGUGAGGAAUAUCUGGGAAACUGGCAGAGGGAGGGGGAUAACUACUGGAAGCGGUAGCUAAUACCGCAUACCAUUGGACGUGCGCAGGUGGGAUUAGCUAGUAGGUGGGGUAACGGCCCACCUAGGCGACGAUCCCUAGUCGGUCUGGGAGGAUGACCAGCCACACUGGAACUGAGACACGGUCCAGACUCCUACGGGAGGCAGCAGUGGGGAAUAUUGCACAAUGGGCGCAAGCCUGAUGCAGCCAUGCCGCGUGUAUGAAGAAGGCCUUCGGGUUGUAAAGUACUUUCAGCGAGGAGGCGUUACUCGCAGAAGAAGCACCGGCUAACUCCGUGCCAGCAGCCGCGGUAAUUC
Molecule: ribosomal RNA, 406 nt
Filed under: uncultured bacterium
Lineage: Bacteria
Description: partial 16S ribosomal RNA
Rfam family: Bacterial small subunit ribosomal RNA
Source: RNAcentral